Long non-coding RNA from Mustela erminea (ermine), 91 nucleotides. RefSeq lists it as uncharacterized. The transcript has 3 exons. Lineage: Eukaryota; Metazoa; Chordata; Mammalia; Carnivora; Mustelidae. The record is from RefSeq and is a predicted model, not a curated record.
UCUGUGCAAAAAAGUUGAUGGUAUUUUGAUAGGGAUUGCAUUAGAUGUGUAGACUGCUCUUGGUAGCAUAGACAUUUUCACAUUUACUUGG